This 269-nucleotide ribosomal RNA is filed under the name uncultured bacterium. RNAcentral describes it as "partial small subunit ribosomal RNA". It matches the Rfam family "Bacterial small subunit ribosomal RNA", at positions 26 to 291 of the family's 1533-position model. The record is from RNAcentral.
AGAGCGAACGCUGGCGGCGUGCUUAACACAUGCAAGUCGAGUGCGCGCCUGUAGCAAUACAGGUGGCGCACGGCGCACGGGUGAGUAACACGUGGGCAAUCUGCCCUCGGAUGGGGGAUAACUCGCCGAAAGGCGAGCUAAUACCGCAUGACAUUCCGGAGACUAUGGUCACUAGAUUCAAAGGCCGCAAGGCCGUCUGAGGAGGAGCCCGCGCCCGAUUAGCUAGUUGGUGAGGUAACGGCUCACCAAGGCUUUGAUCGGUAGCCGGU